This 292-nucleotide ribosomal RNA is filed under the name uncultured bacterium. RNAcentral's name for it is "partial 16S ribosomal RNA". The record is from RNAcentral.
GGACUACUCGGGUUUCUAAUCCCGUUUGCUCCCCUGGCUUUCGUGUCUCAGCGUCAGCACACCCCCAGCAGACUGUUUUCACCUUUGGCGUUCCAGACGAUAUCUACGCAUUUCACCGCUCCACCGUCUGUUCCAUCUGCCCCUGAGUGGCUCAAGGCCGCCAGUAUACCCAGCAGUUCCCCGGUUGAGCCGGGGGAUUUCACAAGGUACUUAACGGUCCGCCUACACACGCUUUAAGCCCAGUGAUUCCGCCUAACGCUUGGCACCUCUGUCUUACCGCGGCUGCUGGCAC